Vitis vinifera (wine grape) is the source of this 553-nucleotide long non-coding RNA. RefSeq lists it as uncharacterized. The transcript has 2 exons. NCBI's taxonomy places the organism in Eukaryota, Viridiplantae, Streptophyta, Magnoliopsida, Vitales, Vitaceae. The record is from RefSeq and is a predicted model, not a curated record.
UCAUGGCUUUAGGUUUAGCUCGCAGCACAAGAAGUCGCGAUCUCUGUUUACCCUUCUUCUUCUCCAAACGCUGAGAUUGGAUCGAUUCUGGGUUCAAGUGCAGGUUGGCAGCAUGAUGUUACUGAUGAUAGUAGUGGGGUGGCAGGGUGGUGGUGGGGAUACAGUUGUGGUAUUAUAUGCCAAUGACCAUGACACUCAAGGUGAUUGAAGGCAGUGUACCAUAAUGGUGUCAGUGGUGCUUGGUUGGGCUGUGUCAUCAUGCUAGCAGAAGUUGUGGCAAUGGCAUGCUGUUGUGGUGGUUGUGGCAUUAAGUAGGGAAUAUUCAAGUAGGCAACUGUAUAAUAAUAAAGUAUGGCUUUAACCUUUUUUAGAUUAGGUUCUUAAAUUUUUUUUUUUCAUGCACGCCUUUGUUUUUAGCAUAUCAAAAACAUCUUUAAGAAUUCAGGUACUAUUGGAAAAAAGUUUGUCCAAAAUUUUAAGGUAUAAAAAGCCCAUAUGUAGUUAGUUUUUUCAAAAAAUACUCUUAUUUAAAUGGAUGCUAAAAAUAAUAAAA